CCUACGGGGGGCAGCAGUGGGGAAUUUUGCGCAAUGGGCGAAAGCCUGACGCAGCAACGCCGCGUGUGUGACGAAGGCCCUAGGGUUGUAAAGCACUGUGGGAAGGGAAGAAAAAACGGGGGUUGUACCCCGUCUUGACGGUACCUUGUUAGAAAGCACCGGCUAACUCCGUGCCAGCAGCCGCGGUAAUACGGAGGGUGCAAGCGUUUUGCGGAAUUAUUGGGCGUAGGGGGCUUGCCGGUGGCUUGCCGAAAGCCCACGGCUCAACCGUGGAACUGCAUUGGAAACUGGCAAGCUCGAGUGUGGGAGGGGGUCGCGGAAUUCCCGGUGUAGAGGUGAAAUUCGUAGAUAUCGGGAGGAACACCAGUGGCGAAGGCGGCGACCUGGCCAAUCACUGACACUGAGACGCGAAAGCGUGGGGAGCAAACAGGAUUAGAUACCCGAGUAGUC
RNAcentral lists this ribosomal RNA (450 nucleotides) under uncultured bacterium. Its description in RNAcentral is "partial 16S ribosomal RNA". It matches the Rfam family "Bacterial small subunit ribosomal RNA", at positions 338 to 795 of the family's 1533-position model. The record is from RNAcentral.